This is a long non-coding RNA of Zingiber officinale, 751 nucleotides long. RefSeq lists it as uncharacterized. NCBI's taxonomy places the organism in Eukaryota, Viridiplantae, Streptophyta, Magnoliopsida, Zingiberales, Zingiberaceae. The transcript has 3 exons. The record is from RefSeq and is a predicted model, not a curated record.
CGAUUCCUCCACAGCACUGCCUACACGCUGUGAUUCUGUCUUUAUCCUCCCAAACUCAUUCUUAUCAUCGCUGCUCCUAAUCUGCGGAUCUCACCGUGAUUUGUUGUGGAUUGGAAGAAUUUAAUAGUCACCUUGCUCCUUUCUACCUAAUCGAAUCAAACAGUUGAGGUAAAACUCCACACUCACUUGCAUGCAACAUGAGAGCAUGCAAGAUACCAACCAUCAUCACAGUAAAAUAACCAAGGUGCAAACACAAUUCCAACAUGCGGAUUUGUGUUCACACUUACACCUCACCAACAUCACGGCCAGCUCCAUCUUGCCUUCAUCAAACAGAUAGCAGCUUCAAGCAAAUCCAGCACGGUGACAAUUCCAGCAUAUCAAGAACACAUCAAAAUCGGACAGCAAUUCCAAACUCAGCUUCACACGGACAGCAGCUUUACUCAGCACGGUGACAAUUCCAGCACAUCAGAAUUCCAGCACACACAGUAAUGGAUUGGAGCAAAGUACCUAAAAUAGAAUGAAAAGAAUUAAGAGAAGCAUAAAUGAGAUUGAUCGAUCCACCUUGUAGAGCAGGAGAUUUGAAACCAUAGUAUAGAUUGUUGAUUGCUAUGUUUGCACUUAUAUUUGACUUAACAACUCGAGAGUUGUAGAAAUGAGAUCCUCUCAUGCAAUACCUUAUCCUUUUGUCCUAAAAACUUUGAUUAUGUAUUUCACAAACUAUGUACAGCCAAGCAUGGUUGCAUGUGUUUAA